GCCCGCCAAACAACUACGAGUGAAAACUUAAAACUUAAAAGACUUGACGGUACUUCAUAACCGACCUAGAGGAGCCUGUCUAAUAACCGAUAAUCCACGAUCAACCCUACCACUUCUAGCCAUCCAGUCUAUAUACCGCCGUCGCCAGCCUACCUUGUGAAAGAAACAAAGUAAGUUCAACAGUACCACACUAACACGACAGGUCGAGGUGUAACAAAUGAAGUGGACUAUGAUGGGCUACACUUUCUAACACAGAAAACACGAACAAAGAUAUGAAAUCAUCCAUCAAAGGCGGAUUUAGCAGUAAGCUAAGAACACGAUCCUUAACUGAAACCAACGCAAUGAAGUGCGUACACACCGCCCGUCAUCCCUGCCUCCCAUAUAACACGUAUAAAUAAAAAAUAACAACAAAACAAAACAGGGCAAGUCGUAACAUGGUAAGUGUACUGGAAAGUGCACUUAGAUAA
Molecule: ribosomal RNA, 467 nt
Filed under: Acrochordus javanicus
Lineage: Eukaryota; Metazoa; Chordata; Lepidosauria; Squamata; Acrochordidae
Description: partial 12S ribosomal RNA
Rfam family: Bacterial small subunit ribosomal RNA
Source: RNAcentral